AAAAAAAACCCCAUAAAAAUCUAGAAGAAGGAUAUAUGAUUUUCGGAUCUAUGGAGAAUUCUAUAUAUAUAAAACAAAAUUACAAACAGAAAUAGAAGAUGGUAAAUUGGUUCAUUGAGAUGAACAAAGUACCUGAUUUCUGAGUAAUCGAUUAAUGAUGUUGAGAAACCCAUCUUUGAGAUUUUACACAGUAGUCAUGGAGUUUUUGGAAGAGAGAAAGUGGAGAUGUGGAGAUCGUGGGGAUGAAAGAGAAAAUCGUUUGAGAAAGAAACAAAGUUAAAUAAAAACGACACAUAAAAAUCCUUCGUGAAAAUGAAAGAAUAAAAAAAUAGUAUUAAGCUGAUGUGUCAAUCACUGAAUGCAUCAGUUAUUGGAAAAGUGACUGCUGAUUUAGUAUAUUUAGAUAUCUCUAUCUACAUAACCUUUGAUAAAUGAAAAAUGUAUUUUUUUAAAUGAUGGGAAACUGAUCACCCGAAAAUACUACGAUUGAAUGUUUUACAAAUAGUCAUAAAAUAUUGGGAAAUUUGCAAAUCUAACACACAAAAAAAUUAUAAUUAAUAAAGUAGUAUCAAAACAAAAAAGAGAUGAUAUUCUUUAUAUUUUGUGUAUUAAUCACAAUUUUGCCCCCUUCCUCUUUCUUUCUCUUUCUUUCUCUUUCCCUCUCUCUCUCUUUCUCUCUCUCCCUCCCUUCCUCUCUCUUUCUCUCUUUCUCUCUUCCUCCCUCCCCCUCUCUCUCUUUCUCUCUCUCCCUUUCUCUCUCUCUAAAUCUCUCUCUCUUAAUGUCUCUUACUUCUAUUUUCUAUAUGUACUUUCUAUUCUAUUCUAACAAAAAAAAAUAUUACACAUAAUAAAAUUCAUAAUACAAUUAUCAUAUAUAUUAUUACACCAUUACCUCUACUACCAAGUCACCAUUAUCCUUAUCAGUGGCUCACUGCUAUAACCGUAUUGUCGUCACUACAAUCGUAUUGCCGUCACUACAACAGUUAACUUGCUUGUUUGGGUUUCCAAUAUUGUAUCUCUUAUGGUAUAGUUUUUUAAUGGGGAUCAUAUCGCUUUAACUCGGUAAUUUAAAUCGUCUAUGUUUUAUCUUUUACGAUUAUCGUAGCUAAUAUUGCAACCUAAACUACUAUCCCACCACCACUACCACCACUAUUACUUUAUUUAAUUUA
Molecule: small RNA, 1169 nt
Filed under: Arabidopsis thaliana (thale cress)
Lineage: Eukaryota; Viridiplantae; Streptophyta; Magnoliopsida; Brassicales; Brassicaceae
Description: ATSL253250
Source: RNAcentral